AGCAAGGAAGGAAAAGGAAGGGAGGGGCAAGGGUUUCCAACCAACUAAGGAGUAGAACCAAGAGGUGAUGAGGCACGGCGCGAGGCCAUCGGCGGUCUAUCAUCACCUAGGACUCGAGGGUGGCCAGUGGUGGGUGCCUACGGCACUGUAUGCCCAAGGUGAGUGUGCGUGUGUAUGUAGAGACUAGGGUGCAGGGUGGCCAACGGUUGGUGUCGACGACACUGUAUGCUCAAGGUGUGUGUGUGUGUGUGUGACUGGGGUGUAGGGUGGCCAACGGUUGGUGACGGCGACACUGCAUGCUCAGGGUGAGUGUGUGUAUGUGUGACUGGGGUGCAGGGUGGCCAACGGUUGGUGCCGACGGCACUGCAUGCUCAGGGUGAGUGUGUGAAUGACUGUGAUUGAAACUGUGACUGAGGAUCUGGCUCUCUACGGAGGUGACCUCUGGGAUUAGGAGCUGGUUGCACUUGAGGAUGGAUGC
Long non-coding RNA from Macadamia integrifolia, 478 nucleotides. RefSeq lists it as uncharacterized. NCBI's taxonomy places the organism in Eukaryota, Viridiplantae, Streptophyta, Magnoliopsida, Proteales, Proteaceae. The transcript has 3 exons. The record is from RefSeq and is a predicted model, not a curated record.